This 462-nucleotide ribosomal RNA is filed under the name uncultured bacterium. RNAcentral's name for it is "partial 16S ribosomal RNA". It matches the Rfam family "Bacterial small subunit ribosomal RNA", at positions 28 to 507 of the family's 1533-position model. The record is from RNAcentral.
GACGAACGCUGGCGGCGUGCCUAACACAUGCAAGUCGAGCGGAAAGGCCCUUCGGGGUCCUCGAGCGGCGAACGGGUGAGUAACACGUGAGUAACCUGCCCCAGACUUUGGGAUAACCCUCGGAAACGGGGGCUAAUACCGGAUACGACACAGCUUCGCAUGGGGUCUGUGUGGAAAGUUUUUCGGUUUGGGAUGGGCUCGCGGCCUAUCAGCUUGUUGGUGGGGUGAUGGUCUACCAAGGCGACGACGGGUAGCCGGCCUGAGAGGGCGACCGGCCACACUGGGACUGAGACACGGCCCAGACUCCUACGGGAGGCAGCAGUGGGGAAUAUUGCACAAUGGGCGGAAGCCUGAUGCAGCGACGCCGCGUGAGGGAUGACGGCCUUCGGGUUGUAAACCUCUUUCAGCAGGGACGAAGCGUAAGUGACGGUACCUGCAGAAGAAGCGCCGGCCAACUACGUG